CGGGGUGAGUAACGCGUGGGUAACCUGCCUCAUACAGGGGGAUAACAGUUAGAAAUGACUGCUAAUACCGCAUAAGACCACAGGAUCGCAUGAUCCGGUGGUAAAAACUCCGGUGGUAUGAGAUGGACCCGCGUCUGAUUAGCUAGUUGGUGGGGUAACGGCUCACCAAGGCGACGAUCAGUAGCCGACCUGAGAGGGUGACCGGCCACAUUGGGACUGAGACACGGCCCAA
RNAcentral lists this ribosomal RNA (232 nucleotides) under uncultured bacterium. Its description in RNAcentral is "partial 16S ribosomal RNA". It matches the Rfam family "Bacterial small subunit ribosomal RNA", at positions 104 to 334 of the family's 1533-position model. The record is from RNAcentral.